UACGUAGGGUGCGAGCGUUGUCCGGAAUUAUUGGGCGUAAAGGGCUCGUAGGCGGUCUGUUGCGUCGGUAGUGAAAACUCAGGGCUUAACCCUGAGCCUGCUUCCGAUACGGGCAGACUAGGGGUAUGCAGGGGAGAACGGAAUUCCUGGUGUAGCGGUGAAAUGCGCAGAUAUCGGGAGGAACACCGGUGGCGAAGGCGGUUCUCUGGGCCUUACCUGACGCUGAGGAGCGAAAGCGUGGGGAGCGAACAGG
Molecule: ribosomal RNA, 253 nt
Filed under: uncultured bacterium
Lineage: Bacteria
Description: partial 16S ribosomal RNA
Rfam family: Bacterial small subunit ribosomal RNA
Source: RNAcentral